UCUUAAUUUACUUGAAACAUUGCGAAAGUGGAAAGCUAGAGACAUGUUAAUUGAUUUUGCGAUAAUUUAAGCACCUGAAUACCUAUUUGGAAAGUUGUGUUUGAGAGGUUGUUCUGUGUAUACCUCCCAGUGAAAGCUAUUAUUAUUUCCUCUCUUAAGUGAAAAGCUUAAGAUAGAAACCACUUAUCGCGAAAAUGCGAAUUUGGAAGCCUGAGGCAAAAGUAAUGGUAAAUAUUUCGAAGACCCCAACUAUAAUUUUCUUCUGUAGAGUAGAAACAAAGUGUUCAUAGCUCCUAGAGUAUCAGUUCUGCUAAAUCUAAAAAUCAAGUGCUACUCUUUACGGCGUUUGAAUUUGGUAACCUGACAGAGAAAUAAAGAAAUGACUUCAAGGCUCUCUAUUUAAAUCUCUUGUGAAGAGAAUUUACACAAAUUGGCUAAUUGCACCAAUCAAGAAGUACAAACCCCCCCUCCGCCUGACGUCGUUUUUUCAACGGUAGGGUAUAAAAUAUACCUUCCUUUUACAUGAGGAAGUCGCAUGGUAACAUAUAAAAGAAAAAUCGAUAUACGGUGAGGCAAUGAUUUCGGUUUCAGACUAGCAACGGAUUUUCUUGAAAAUUGAUGAUGCGAAAUACUAGGAACAGCAAAAACUAAAAAAAGUUCUUUAAAAAACUUUGUAUAAGAAUAUUAAGUGACUUUGUUAACAAACUUAUUGUCUGGAAUAUCAUCAACAGUUAUCGACGACUUGCUUCUUACAAAGAGCAUCUUUUUUUCUUCUAAUUCUCCAUUUCUUGUUUUGCCUAAAUUCAAACGAUGACUGCGCUUGCAUAACAAAUUGUAAGGUUGUGCAAGUACCAAGGAUAGCAAAACACGUACAUUAGCGCCUCGAGUAGACAAAUUCGCUGCGUAUUCCAAUUAUGAAGACGAUAUUCGCUGCCAAAGUGAUUUUCUGGAGUAUAUUAAUCCAUCUGUUGAUAUUGAACCAUAUAUUAAAGUUUCUAUAAUUUGAAAAGGGUCUAAACAACAGUGAAGAAUAUAUUUUAUGACUCUUUAUGCAAAGCAUCAAUGAUUCUCACUAUAAAACGUAGUUUUGUUUGAGAUCUUUGUUUGAUGUGAAACAUCUAAUUGUGUGGGAAUGUGACUUAUCUUUGAAUAGAGCUGAUCAUGUUUGUUUUUUUUUGGGUCUUCCCUCAGUUUUUAUCGUGUUUGCCGUAGUUUUUUUGCUCUUGAAUUAAUUAGCUCAGAUAUUACUCCGGAAUUCGAAUGUCAACAAUUUUGUACCCCUGCUGUCGCUGACUGCUCGGAAUUGAUCACCACUCUAAAAAUAGCUAAGCUCAUUUGAGCCAACAAGCUAUGAGGAACAAAGCUUAAUGGAUAAAAAGAAACACUUUAGUUCUUGCAGUUGAACUGUGUGUAUCGGAUUGGUAUUAUUUUUGAUCUCUCUCUAGCUAAAUCGCCGGGCUGUGGACGUUUGGCGCGACGAAACUAUCACGAGUCGCCCUCUUGACCAAGGACCUGCCCUAAAGAUGUGCGAUAAAGUAAAACUGUGGUUUCUUUUGAUUGCGCUUUUCAAAAUCCCAUCCGCAACUACUUCAUAGGCUAAACCAUAGCGUGAAUUGACGCUUUUCCGGAGAAAAACCCAUUUCGAGAGUUCGUUUAUUAAAAAUAUCGAAUGCUUUGAUUGUGUAUUUCAAUGCGCACUUCCUCUCUCUCAGGCAUAUUUCAGGCGCGCCAUUUGUUUUUUUUUUUUUUGUUUGUUUUUUUCGCUAAACCACUAACGUUGCGAUGUUGGUGUUUUACUUUCCCCCUAUCGCGGGAGGUACACUUUCUCGUUUGUUAAGAGAACGCCCACAAAUCCCACGACCUCCGGAAAUGAGUUAACAAAUAAAACUGCUGUGUUUGUUUGAUGACGCUGCUGAUGCAAUAAAAGGGCUGACUUUGCGUUUGAUUUUUCGCGGAAGCGAAAUAGUCAACUCUUCUGGCACCAUUGUAGUUUUUUUCCAACCGUUUCGGUCACUGCUUUUCAGAUAUGCUAUUUCUGCUUCGAUUGUAAGCGUCAGACAUCAAUUUCACAGACAAUUAGUGCAAAUUACUCACAGUUUAGGUAGUGGUUUAAUUAACGAAUGUGUUUUACGUUAACUGCGGUUUAAUUUGUUUCUCUUUAAAUAAACGAAACGAUAAAUGUUA
RNAcentral lists this long non-coding RNA (2184 nucleotides) under Pocillopora damicornis (cauliflower coral). Its description in RNAcentral is "uncharacterized LOC113683297". The record is from RNAcentral. Lineage: Eukaryota; Metazoa; Cnidaria; Anthozoa; Scleractinia; Pocilloporidae.